GGUAAAAUGGCUGAGUAAGCAUUAGACUGUAAAUCUAAAGACAAAGGUAAAGUCCUUUUUUUGCCA
This 66-nucleotide transfer RNA is filed under the name Dasypus kappleri (great long-nosed armadillo). Its description in RNAcentral is "tRNA-Tyr". It matches the Rfam family "tRNA". Rfam says of the family: Transfer RNA (tRNA) molecules are approximately 80 nucleotides in length. Their secondary structure includes four short double-helical elements and three loops (D, anti-codon, and T loops). The record is from RNAcentral. Lineage: Eukaryota; Metazoa; Chordata; Mammalia; Cingulata; Dasypodidae. RNAcentral also lists the same sequence under 1 other name.